GUCACGGCUGUAUUGGCUGAUCUGUUGGACCAAUCACCUGAGGGUUCUCCCCAGGGUUCUCUGGGAGAUGUAGUUCAGGAUCCCAGGCGGUCAGUGUUUAGUUAGAGCCCAGAGGAGGCUUUGCUCAUCUCCAAGCCCCAUAUCCAGAAGUGCGGCCAGAGUGACCUCUCCAAGUUUAGGUCGUAGUGCGAAGUUGACGAUGGUUUUCAACGUGUUUUGGUGUCAAGAGACAGGAACGUGGAGUCAGAAGACGAAGUACCAGUCACGUUUUGCUACUGACUGGCACUGGGCAAAAUAAUUAAUCUGAGGCAACACCACUCUACACUCUCUAAGCAUGAAAUGAUAGGUUUUGCUAUUUUAUAAGGUUGUAGUAGGGAGAAAAUGAGAUAGUGUGAACGCGCUGUGAAAUCUUAAAGUACGUAUAGGCAUGUUAAUUGUCACUUAUUGACAGUGAAAUUUUAUUGAGCACUUAUUAUGUAUCAUGCAUGGGGCAUGCAAAGAAAUGCUUCCAUCUUGGAGAGAUGGAGAAGGAACUCGCAACCUACUUAAAACUAAAUUGAGCAGGAAAAAAAGAAAACCACGUAUGGAUACAAAAGAGCUGCAGUAUUCUAAAGGUGUUGGGGGGAAGCUUCAAGGAACUGAGUCUUGAAGAGUAAGAAGUGUGUGCCAGAUCAAUGCACCGGACUACCACAAAAGCAGAAGGAAAUCUGUCACUGCAGACCUUAUCAGAAGCCAGGAUCCGGAAGGAGGCAAUGACCUGCUCAGCCGUGUCCGUGUCCGCCGUCUCUCUAGUCAUGAAGUCGAUGAAGGACUGGAAGGUGACGGUGCCCUGUCCAUUGGGAUCCACCAGGGUCAUGAUGCGGGCAAAUUCAGCUUCGCCC
Long non-coding RNA from Neofelis nebulosa (Clouded leopard), 881 nucleotides. RefSeq lists it as uncharacterized. The transcript is spliced from 2 exons. The record is from RefSeq and is a predicted model, not a curated record. Lineage: Eukaryota; Metazoa; Chordata; Mammalia; Carnivora; Felidae.